GCGCCUGUAGCUCAGUCGGAUAGAGCACCUGCCUUCUAAGCAGGUUGUCGCUGGUUCGAUUCCAGCCAGGCGCGC
This 75-nucleotide transfer RNA is filed under the name Candidatus Nanopelagicaceae bacterium. RNAcentral describes it as "tRNA-Arg". It matches the Rfam family "tRNA". From Rfam's summary of the family: Transfer RNA (tRNA) molecules are approximately 80 nucleotides in length. Their secondary structure includes four short double-helical elements and three loops (D, anti-codon, and T loops). Further hydrogen bonds mediate the characteristic L-shaped molecular structure. tRNAs have two regions of fundamental functional importance: the anti-codon, which is responsible for specific mRNA codon recognition, and the 3' end, to which the tRNAs corresponding amino acid is attached (by aminoacyl-tRNA synthetases). tRNAs cope with the degeneracy of the genetic code in two manners: having more than one tRNA (with a specific anti-codon) for a particular amino acid; and 'wobble' base-pairing, i.e. permitting non-standard base-pairing at the 3rd anti-codon position. Lineage: Bacteria; Bacillati; Actinomycetota; Actinomycetes; Candidatus Nanopelagicales; Candidatus Nanopelagicaceae. RNAcentral also lists the same sequence under 1 other name. The record is from RNAcentral.